Long non-coding RNA from Cucumis melo (muskmelon), 151 nucleotides. RefSeq lists it as uncharacterized. The transcript has 2 exons. The record is from RefSeq and is a predicted model, not a curated record. NCBI's taxonomy places the organism in Eukaryota, Viridiplantae, Streptophyta, Magnoliopsida, Cucurbitales, Cucurbitaceae.
AUUUAACAAAGGCUUGUAACCUAUGUGGGGGCUUUAAGAUGGUUGGAGGUUGGCUCUUAGUAUUUGGUUGGGACUCUAAAGUUGUCUACUUGUUCGCCCAAUCCAAGAAGGGAGUUGGGCCUCGCAUUCUGGACGAAAGUCCAAAGUGUAA